Molecule: long non-coding RNA, 1835 nt
Filed under: Fragaria vesca (wild strawberry)
Lineage: Eukaryota; Viridiplantae; Streptophyta; Magnoliopsida; Rosales; Rosaceae
Description: long non-coding RNA (FVES_LNC002448)
Source: RNAcentral
AAACACAGUUUAAUAGAUAUCACUAAGUCUAAUAGUAUGUUUUCCAAGUAAAAAGCAAUGGACACAGGGGAUAUCUAUCUUAGCCUGAAUUAGAGAUUGGAUACACUUUUGGGAUAUUUGAGAGGGAAGUGAAGGCUUUUAGAAGAGCACUAAGAGAUAGUGUAGCACCUAAAUGAAUAUGCUCCUUGAAUGCAGAAGAAGUAGCACAUACCAAUGAACCUCAGUUCGUUCAAAAUCUCAGGAAAUCAACGGAAACAGAAGAACUAAGUUCUUGGUUUGCAAGCAGGAACUGAAGAAAUAAAAGAAACCUACCAUCAAACUCACAAACAAACAAUGAAUCUAAUUCUCUAAUCACAAUAAUGAUCAGAGCAUUCAUAAAAAAAGCUACAUUACUAUGAAGCCUUUUACUAUUCAAAGCCCAGAUCUUAAAAAAGGACAUGAAGAAUAAGGUAGUGACAGGACAGCUAAUUUUGGAGUACUAUGAAGCCUAAUUACAUUUUUAUAAUACAAAGAACAAAAGUUACCUGGAUUACUAUUUGUUACAUACAAAUUAGAACUAUAAAGAAUAGUUUGAUCUAUGAAAAACAGAGAAUAUUAUUAUUAACAGAUGAUAAAGAACAAAUAGCAAAAUGAAAAAUAAAAUUUAAAAGAAUAAACUGAGUAACAUAUGAAGAUGCAAAAGAAUAAAGAAUGAGUUUAUAAGAGAAAGAAUGACAAUAUUGUAUUCCAGUGCAACACUUUCUUGCAGUUCUCAAAAUGCGCUCUCUUGGAUUCUAAAUCAGUUAUACAAUGUAGGACCUCACUCUCACCAUCUGUUAAAAAAGAAUAAGGAAAAAAAAAGGACUUUAAACAAUAACAAAAUAGAAUUACUACAAAAUCCACAGCAAUUUAUAUAGAUCCCCUGAAAUCAAUUAAGUAGAAUACUCUACUCCAAUUGCCACGCCAAAAAAAUGAAACUGAAAUGAAGUAGCUAUUUUCAUGUGUAUAUUAAUUCCUCGUUUGACACUCCUCAAUGUACAUACCACACGUUACACAGCUCUUCAAAUUCCAUUUGCUCUAAUCCCUGUCAGGCUACCUUCCCUAGAAAAUUUGCAGUUCACCUAAACCGCAUAUGCCUAUGGUAAACUGAACACCGGAGCAUCACGUAUGCCUAUGCUAACCUAAACGACACCAUAUGCACAACUCUGUUAGCAGAGUCAACCAUUUACAUCGUAAAAGGUAAAAGAAAAAUUUUCCCUUCUACCUUUUCACUCUCAAGCUCUUUCCUCAGUCUUCUCAACUCAUCUUCAAGUCCUCACUCAUUAUGAAGAGUGGACCUUAGUUUAUAAAUUGUAAGUCUAAAUGUAUUUCAGUAAAAGCAAAUUAAAAUUCUAUUGUAAAAUUUGAAUUGUAGUUGUUAGCUAAUCAAAUUAACAAAGCCAAUAAAUUGACAAUAAAUCUGAAGUUAUUUAGUUAGAAUCAAUUUAAAACCUUAACAUGAUUGUCCAAAAAAAAAUUAACAAAAAAGAGCUCCGUCCUGUCAAGGGAUGCGUUAAAAACACAUUAAUCAUUAUAAAUUGAUAUAAUAAUUCCCGUAGACACAAUACCGAUUGUCAUCAAGUUUUAUUUGAAAAAAAAAAAAAAGCAUCAGAGAGCCUAACUUUUAGCAAUUCAGUUCACAAAAAAUAAAAAUUACUAUGAUAUGGAUAUUUUUCUGGUAAGCAUCAUGCAUACAGCCUCAUAAGUUUAAGACUUAAAAGUAAGAUAGUGACUUCUAAUGAGACCAUGCCUCUGUUUUGACACCUGAUAGGAUUUUUAGGUUCUUUCCGCUAUAAGUUUCAAUUCAGUUUUGAUUC